Long non-coding RNA from Pipistrellus kuhlii (Kuhl's pipistrelle), 332 nucleotides. RefSeq lists it as uncharacterized. The record is from RefSeq and is a predicted model, not a curated record. The transcript has 2 exons. NCBI's taxonomy places the organism in Eukaryota, Metazoa, Chordata, Mammalia, Chiroptera, Vespertilionidae.
CCGCUGUGGAAACCUUCAGUCUUCCCAGCACAGCACAGCUCUCCGGGCGGCCGGGGAGGCGCCCAUCUUGGCCCUUAGAGAGUCUGAAGGGGGCAGAGCUGGACGCGCAUACAGGUGACCCUGCAGGCCAGAGCAUUUGCUCAGUGGCUGCUCCGUGCCCAACUCACUGCCAGGCUUUGCCGCCAGGUUCCUGCCAGAAAGGCCUUGUGUCUCACUCAUCCACCUGCGAACGUAGGCUUGUGUUGGAAUUUGCUCUGCUGCCAAUAUAAGCACGUUUUGUAAUCCGGCUACCUGAUACGAAAUAGGCGCUUAAUAAAACUUUGUUAAAAGAA